AAAAAUCUGCAUACAGAGCAACGGGAGGAAGAAAAAACAGAGAUACCUACAAAUGGCGAAAUCAAUGAGAUCAAAGAGGGAAAAGAGGCUGAGAGCUAUAAGGAGGGAUAUAGUUGCUACAGAACCAUCUGUUCUUAAGAAAGAAGCUGCUAAAUUGGCUGCCCAAGAAGCUGCCCUUGCUGCUCCUAAGCUUAUUGUUAAGUCUCCCUUCAGCCGCACCACCAUGGAUACUUCUGCCUCUACUUCUAACGACGAAUCUAAAAUGGAUGUGGAGAUGGCUGAUGGCAAUCAAAGUUCAAAAUCUCUAAAACCUCUUGGAAAGAAGAUGAAAAAGAAGCUUAAAAUAGCUAAGAAGAAGAAUCAUGGCAAGGGAAAGAUCAGGAGGAAGAAUGUUUGAUUGCAGGCGGUAGCGAUCUUGCUAAGCUGAUAGAUGUCUUGUUACUUACUGUUGACAAGUCCCUCCCAUAUUCUCUCCUUGAUUCAUGAUCUUACAUUGUAGUAGAGUAUCUUGGAACUUGAGCAUGUGAGUGGGUAUGCUCAUAUAGAUUGUGUUCAUGGGCUGUCAAAAUGAAGCCUCAAGUUCUUAAAUUUGUUUACAAAAUAGAUCGCGUUUUUCAUUUUCCUUUUACAGUUUGUUGGAACAUGCUAAACUUGCAAGGAAAUAUGAAGAUGUAGACUGUAAUCCAACAAUGUUAAAGAUGUUUUAGUUUUCUGAUUAGGAG
RNAcentral lists this unclassified non-coding RNA (722 nucleotides) under Hevea brasiliensis (rubber tree). The record is from RNAcentral. Lineage: Eukaryota; Viridiplantae; Streptophyta; Magnoliopsida; Malpighiales; Euphorbiaceae.